AGUACCUUGACAUUUUAAAGGGAACCAAAGUACUACUUGCCAUCAUGUAUAAAAGUUAAUCCAUAAUUUGAUUUGGAAAAAAUGUGUGUUGUUUGAUUAUCUUCAUCAUGGUACGUUCAAACUAUAUGAACCUAAAGUCAAUUCUGCAAGAAACUUACAAACAUAGAACACAAGGAGGGGUACAAGAUAAUGAAAAUUGAUCUAGCCAAAUUUGGAAAUACACAUACCUGUGUUUAUCAAACCCUCCCAGGAGUAUCUUCUUUCAAACCAAAUAAUUUUCAUACCGCAAGAGAUCACAAUAUCAACCUCUACCACGAGUGUAUCAAUACCGUUCGUUCUUUUCGAACCUGUUAAUCAUCAGACCCCAAGAGACCACAAUAUCAACCAGAAACUCAGUCAAUUGUCAGCAAAGCUAUGAGUAAACAUGCUAGUUGCACCAGCUUGAUUGAAAAGUAGGCGAGGCGAGAAAUUUACAUAUAAAACUAACAUAUCAGUAUACAGUAAGGCAUCAUAAUUCAUCCCGAUCUGCAGUGGGACAAAAGGCGCGUAUUUAGACAAUGGGUGCACCUACACCUAUGAGUCAAAGUAAAUUCUCCCUAGUUAAUCUUAAUAUAAACAUCGGUAAACAAAAUCAAAGGACCAAGAAAUCCAUCAACAUUCUAGCGGCAAAUUAACCUUUUCUCUUAUCCAUGUGUUUCCUCCUUUCAUGCACAUUUUUUCUGCCUUUCCAUGUGACAAAAGAAGAUGGAAAUCUUUGUGGGUGCCUAAGCUGGUUAUUUGAGUAGUUUGGCGUUAAUUUGGAGUUAGUUGGACAUUAGUUGUUCUUUCUUCAUGUGUGCUUUUAAUAAACAAUACAAUACAAAUUUGCUUGCAGUGCUAUAUAGUCCUCCGUUCCUAAAUAUAAGUCAUUUUAAAGUUUCCAGUAAGAAACUACAUACGGAUGUAUCUAGACAUAUAUUAAAGUGUAGUUUGAAUCAUUUUGCUUCGUAUGUAGUCUUCUAAUGAAAUAUCUAAAAAGACUUAUAUUUAAGAACGAAGGAAGUAUAUAUAUACUUACGGAGGGAAUCCAAUAUCUGGCUGUCGCUGCAACCGCUGCAGUACCAUGGAAACACGACAAAUUCUUCGCAAAUUCUUCCCGUUGCCUCCCUGUCCCUGGUCGAUGCACAUAUCAUCAAGAUAUGGAUAAUUGGUGUUAGGUUAGGGUAGGUUAGGUUAGAGAGGAACGGGGGCCGGGGCGGCGUAUGGUAGGGAACGAGGUGGAACAGUCGCGCAGAGAAGAUUUGAUAUGUGGG
RNAcentral lists this long non-coding RNA (1292 nucleotides) under Hordeum vulgare. Its description in RNAcentral is "long non-coding RNA (HVUL_LNC002324)". Lineage: Eukaryota; Viridiplantae; Streptophyta; Magnoliopsida; Poales; Poaceae. The record is from RNAcentral.